This 1350-nucleotide ribosomal RNA is filed under the name Triticum aestivum (bread wheat). RNAcentral's name for it is "partial small subunit ribosomal RNA". Lineage: Eukaryota; Viridiplantae; Streptophyta; Magnoliopsida; Poales; Poaceae. The record is from RNAcentral.
AUGGACAGCGACGACGAGGAGAUGCGCGACGCCUCCUCCUCCUCCUGCUCCGCCGCCGCCGACGACGACGGCGCGGGGUUCGAGGAGGUGGAGGACGAAGAGAAGGACGGGGUGAUGGUGAUGGAGGUCCGGUGGUUCGAGGUGGACCUCGACUACGAGUACGACGCGCCGCGCUGGUUCGACCUCGCGCAGGCCGAGGCCCCCGCCGAGGCCGCCGCCGCCGAGCUCUGGUUCGCCACCGCCCCCAGCUACCCGCCCUCCCCGUUGAUUGCAAUGAUGUUGGCUGAAGACCUUGGGCUGCCAAACCUAAGAAGCAUCACAGUUGCAGAUAUAGAGGCUGUGCGUUGCCCUAAACCAUCUCAACGUUGUUCUGGUGCAACUGAACAAAGUAUAUAUCGAUCACAUGUACCAAAUGAAGGACGGAUACCGAGCUAUGGAGCAUCAAAACAUGAACGAAAACCUGUCACUCGAAGUGCUGUGAAGGGGAGUUUAUCCAAGGGGUCCACACUGAUGAAGCCUACAGCCAGUCAAUUGGCCAGGCAACACAAGCAACUUGAAGUGAAGAAUGUUGUACCUAGUAAAAAAUCAGUUGGAGUGAGAAGUGACAGAAGUACCAUUAGCUCAAAUGAUUGCACUCAACAAGCUGGUAAAAGGCAGAAACUUGAAAAAGGUCAUCUCAACAAGGAUGUUGCUACAAAUCAACAUGAGUUGAUUCACAAGGCCCAUGAAAAGAAUGUUAUGAGCAGUAGCUAUGAUCGUGCCACCGUUCUACCUAAAUUGAAGAUUACAGUUCCGAGAGAACCUGAGUUGGCUACUAAGCUGAGAGCAGAGAGGUCAAGGAUUCAAAGAUUAGUCCCAAGUAAUUCAAAGCAGUUAGACAGACGGGAUCCUGCUUGUACGACCCAAUCGGCACCGACUAGAAAGGUCGUGCAACCUUUUCGGGCUCAUCAGCAUGCAAAUAUACAACAUGUCAAUGUUGCACCAAAAACGCCAGUGUGUUCAUCUAACCGUGCAACUAGUCUUCACAACAUUGAUAAAACAUCAGAAGAUGACCGAGAUGGCACGACGGGCACGUUUAAAUUUAAAGCUCUGCCACUGGAUAAAAAGAUAUUGGCAAGCAGAGGAGACAUCGGUGUAUUUCAAACUGCCAAAAGAAAUCCUACAGUGCCUAAGGAAUUCAACUUGUCAACAAGCCGGAAGAGCAAGCAGCCUCCAUUAUCCGAACUCUUUAACAAACUUUCUUUAAGUACCGAAGCCUGCCGUACCAUGGGCCACCAGACCAGUGAACGCCCAAAUUAUAUCACUACCAAGGACUGCAAAGAGAACAUGAUUGGUGCCAUUCAUUGCUAG